RNAcentral lists this ribosomal RNA (672 nucleotides) under uncultured bacterium. Its description in RNAcentral is "bacterial SSU rRNA". It matches the Rfam family "Bacterial small subunit ribosomal RNA", at positions 103 to 794 of the family's 1533-position model. The record is from RNAcentral.
CGGGUGAGUAAUAUANAGUNAAUCUGCCCCAAAGAAGGGAAUAAUNGUNGGAAACGACUUGUAAUGCCCUAUAUGCCUUUAUGACAUAAGUUAGCAAGGGAAACAUUUAUGGCUUUGGGAUGAGACUGUACAGUAUCAGAUAGUUGGUGGGGUAAUGGCCUACCAAGUCAAUGACGCUUAACUGGUUUGAGAGGAUGAUCAGUCACACUGGAACUGAGACACGGUUCAGACUCCUACGGGAGGCAGCAGUGGGGAAUAUUGCACAAUGGACGAAAGUCUGAUGCAGCAACGCCGCGUGGAGGAUGACACAUUUCGGUGCGUAAACUCCUUUUAUCAAGGAAGAAAUUUGACGGUACUUGAUGAAUAAGCACCGGCUAACUCCGUGCCAGCAGCCGCGGUAAUACGGAGGGUGCAAGCGCUACUCGGAAUCACUGGGCGUAAAGGACGCGUAGGCGGUUUUGAAAGUCAGAUGUGAAAGCCUAUGGCUCAACCAUAGAACUGCAUUUGAAACUUCAAGACUAGAAUGAGGGAGAGGUAAAUGGAAUUAGUGGUGUAGGGGUAAAAUCCGUAGAGAUCACUAGGAAUACUCAUUGCGAAGGCGAUUUACUGGAACUUUAUUGACGCUGAGGCGUGAAAGCGUGGGGAGCAAACAGGAUUAGAUACCCUGGUAGU